GCCCAGCUAGGUCAGUUGGUAGAGCAUGGGACUCUUAUUCCCUGGGUCGUGGGUUCAAGCCCCAGUGUUGGGCG
Non-coding RNA from Gymnogyps californianus (California condor), 74 nucleotides. The record is from the annotation of a RefSeq genome assembly. NCBI's taxonomy places the organism in Eukaryota, Metazoa, Chordata, Aves, Accipitriformes, Cathartidae.